This 5793-nucleotide long non-coding RNA is filed under the name Sus scrofa (pig). Its description in RNAcentral is "lncRNA (ENSSSCG00015017879.1)". The record is from RNAcentral. Lineage: Eukaryota; Metazoa; Chordata; Mammalia; Artiodactyla; Suidae.
UGCCCUCUUCCACCAGACCUGCGAGCUGAGUUUCUGAGGCUGCUUCUCUUCUGUGAUGUGGCCAGUGCGCCCUCCAGGGACACUGAGUGUCUGUCCAGUUCCAGAGAGGGCUGGUCGGCUGUCCCCCUGGGAUGGCGGGUCAUGAGUACCCCAGAGGUCCUGUGUCCCCUUAGCCAUGGGGCCGCCAGCCUGUUCCUCACCCACCCGUCACCCGCAUCCCAGGAACGGCCAGCGACACUCCCUUAGUCACGCGAGCCAGACGUGAAGCCACGCGUCCUGCGGUCUUCCCGGCUCCGCGCCCACGCCCGUCACACCCCGUCCCCCUCUCUGUCCUCACCGCCCUGGAACAAACCUUACUCCCUGGAGAGCAGUCCGGAGUAUGGUGUCAUCGCAGUGACAGGUUGGUGUGUCGCUCUGACAUUACCUGUGCUGCGUGAGUGACACAGGCGGCAGGGUCGCUUGUGUCAUGUGGCCCUGACCCUGUGUACCCCAGAACCGGGUGGCACUUCCCUGCCUGGCCUGAGGCUGACUGUCAGGCACAUAGACACCCUGGAGGCAGGUGUAGAAUCGAACUGCAGUGAAGCAACGUUUUUUCAUAACUGUGUCAGGCGUCCCACCAGAUCGUCCUUGGAAUUUGAUAGAUUUCUUUUUUUUAAUGUUUUUCUCAUUUAUAAUUUUUAAUUAUUUUUAUUUUUGUCUUUUUGCCUUUUUUUUUUAAGGGCUGCACCUGCAGCACAUGGAGGUUCCCAGGGUAGGGGUCUAAUGGGAGCUGUAGCUCCAGCCUACGCCACAGUCACAGCCACAGCAACGCAGGAUCGAGCUGUGUCUGUGACCCACACCACAGCUCAAGGCAAGGCCAGAUCCUUAACCCACUGAGCGAGGCCAGGGAUCGAACCUGAAACCUCAUGGUUCCUAGUCGGAUUCGUCUCUGCUGCGCCACAACGGACGGGAACUCCGCUGGAAUUUGAUAAAUUUCUGAAAUGCAUAGACUCUCAUGGGAAGAGAGUCAGUGACGAGAAUGUCCCAGAACAGGGCUCUCAGGCUGUCCCUGAGCAGGCCCAGCGCACAGCCACAGGAGUGAGUGGUUUCUAGGCGCUCUGCCCAGCUUACCUUGCCAUGGACCACGACAUAGCUCCUGGCCUGGCACAGGCCCAGCCACACCCAGAGGGGCACAGCCGAGACCAUCAAGCUUUUUGCACUGGACAUCUUGAAAGGUUCUGUUUUUCUUUGAAAUUACUCAGACUUAUAGAAAAGUUGCGAAAAUAGAGCAGAGAUUCUCAUUUUCCCAGAUUCCCAAAUAUUAACAUUUACCACACUUGCUUCAUCACUGUUUUUUUCCUGAAAUGUUUGAGAGUGAGUUGCAUACAUGAUGCAUUUUUUCCUCUAAAAUAUUUCCACGUGUGUGUCCUAAAAAAUUCUCUUCCACACGCAUAGCCCAGUGCCAACACCGCCUAGUGCUGGUGCGACACUGUGACCCCACCUCUGGCUUUCCCUGGACAGGGGCUGUCGUUUGGUGAUGCUCUUUCUCUCACAUUGAAUUUUCCUCUCAUCUGUGGCCGUGCUGUGUCUUCUCUGAUGUUGAGUUUUGGUUUGGUUUGUUUUUUGUUUUUCGUCUUUUUGUCUUUUUAGCGUUGUACCCAUGGCAUGAGCUGUAGCCGCCGGCCUCCACCACAGCCACAGCAAUGUGGGAUCCUUAACCCACUGAGCGAGGCCAGGGAUCGAACCUGCAACCUCAUGGCUCCCAGUCGGAUUCGUUAACCACUGAGCCGCGAUGGGAACUCCUGAUGUUUGUUUUUAGUGGGAAACCCAGCGAUGAGGCUGGGUCCUCUCAGUGCCCCAGGGCAGGAACCUGUUGUUUGCUGUUUUGUGCUGAGGCCUCUGUUGGUUAAAUUUUCUGAAAUCCUGUAAAAACUGGGGGACUCCAGAGUUAGCCUAACGAUGGCUGUCUGAUUUGCAAUCAGACAUAUUUUUUUGAGUAGGUAGAAAGGGAGCCUGCUGGUGGGGAGAUUUUUCCAACUCAGGAACUGUGUCUAAUCUGGGCCCAAACAGAGAAGAGUGACAGAAGGCUGGGGGACACGGUGGCCAUCCCCCCGGGGCCCUCGGUCGCUACGGGUGCUGAGGAGGAAGGCAGCUCUGCUGUGCUCCCCUUGCUGAGCGGCGCUCUGGAGCCAGAGCACUGCUCCAGCCUGGCUCAUCCUCCUGUUACAGUUAGGGGCCUGGGAUGCAGCCUCUUUCUGAGGCCAGCGCAGCCUCUGAAGUGGCCCAGUUGCACUUGGUUGUAGGGACUAGUUUGCCCAGUUGGUUAAUUGUUUGAAUUUACUUCGCAUAGCAUAUCACUAAAUUUGGCUCCACUUGGCUGGAGCCUUAUUUGAAUAUGGCUUAUUUCUGCAGAGCUCUAUGCUGGUAGUCGGUGUCGAAGUAUUUGCAGCAAGGCCUGGCUUUGUACAUAAAGAACGGGUCUUCAGAAUCCUUAGAUGUUUGCGAAUCUGGAAAUUCAGAGCUCUAGACCCAAGCCAUCGGUUUGCGUGUGUCAUUAGUAUGAGUUUCCAUUCCAGCAAGAAAAAUGCCUGUCAGAGUGCUCAUGUGCUGCAGCGGGACUAACUCUGAGUCUGACUAGUAUCCAGGAGGAUGCGGGUUCGAUCUCUGGCCCUGCUCAGUGGAUCAGGGAUCCUUCGUUGCCGUGAGCUGUGGUGCAGGUUGCAGACGUGGCUCGGAUCCCGCGUUGCUGUGGCUCUGGCGGAGGCCGGCGGCUGCAGCUCCCUUUGGGCCCGCAGCCUGGGAAUUUCCAUGUGCCGUAGGCGUGGCCCUAAAAAAGAAGAGUGUCUGCAACUCCGAGUCCUGUUAACACUGUUCGUGUUUAUCCAAGUAAGAGAAACUUAGUUUUACCAGGGUUCUUCUGCCUGAGCGUGGAGCCUUUAGUUUUGAUUUUGUGGCUUGAGAUGUGUGCUUGGGACCUGGUCACUUUUUGUUUAGGGGUUUGUUUAGGGGUCAUUUUUUGUGUAGAGGUUUGCAAUUCUGCUUUCCGGCUUUUAUUGUUCAUUUUGAAAUCCCUCCCUUUCCUCCGUUGGUUGGUUCUUUUUCCCAGGGUUCUCAUACACAGACGUGUGUGUUUAUACUGAGCUUUACCAUCAAAGUGCCUUUAAAGAACACCUGGUACAAAGCGGGGUGAGACACGGUCAGCAUGCGCUUUGCUCUUCUGAUCAGUACGUGCCUCUCUGACCUGAGUGCUUCACGGGAACAAGUUGCGGGACCAGCGGAGAGGCCGCCUCGGGAACUGGUGCAGGGAGGGGCCCGCGUGGGCAGACGUAGCGCCGCCCGGGCCUCUUGGUAGUGGGGGCGGGGGCGGAGGGCUGACGCUCACCUGGUUUGAUCUGCUCUUACAAUGAUUUGCUGCUCUUUUUACUUCUGUGAAACAAUCAAAAUUAUCCCCCUAUUUUUUAUUUUUGGCUUAGAAAAGUCAAGCAGUGGCCAUUCGCAUACCCUAAAGGGGAAUGGUAUUUCAGUAGCUGAACUCCAUAGGGAAAUCAAACUGUUUUGAUGUAUUUGCUCUGAAGGUAACCUACAUAGAAAAACCAGUGAAAAUUAUAACAUAGGUACCCACAUAAUCCCAACCCAGGAAGUAAGCCAUUGUUAACCCCACAGCGUAGAAAAUGCACUGGGAACCCCUGACGUGUUACCACCAUUUUGCUAAUUUCUGUAUCCAUCUACCCUUUAAAAAAACCCUCUCUGUUGAAAUGUACUACGUGUACAGAGAAGCACAUGUACCAUUCAUGUAUAAUUCGAUGAAUCUUCACAAACAGGAACUUACCCGUGUAGUCAGAAUCCAGGCUAAAAACCAGAAAGUUUCCGGAAAACCUGCAUAGCUUUUAAAUGUGUUUCAGGCUCAUACUCGUGUGAAAAGAAGUUCACUCUUAGAAGCAAACACAGAUACCGUGUCUUCACCUGUCAGGCGUCAGAGUCCACUGGUGGCCGGAGCUCCCCCAUACUCUGUCGGUCAGGCUGAUGGCAGGUGGCCGUGUGAGCCCUUGUAGCCUGUGCCGGGGAGACGCCUGUGUCUGCAGUUGGAAACGUUGGGAUGUGAAGGACGCGUGUCCUUGAUGUGGUGCCGGUUACGAAGGCCGUGCUCAGCCCAUCUGUGUGGGUGGGCCUGUGGGUGACAGUGAGGAGUGUGCAGGCAGCGGUCCAGCGUGGAGGGUGUGGUCCUGUUUUGUGGGAAGGAGAAACAGACCUGGAGACAGGUAGGUGCCCCAUGGGGAGGGAAGGGCCCCCCUCAUCACAUUCCCUCUUGGGACUCUGCAGUGCUGCUCCUCUGGUCCAGGCUGGGCUUCCUGGGGGCUCUCGGCGAUGGAGCAGACAACGGCAGGGGCCCAGGGUCGGCUCUAGGAAGAGUAAGGGUUGAUGUCUUGCAGUGGGGCUGAAGGUAGUUUGGUUUUUUCAUUUUCAUGGACAUUUGAGUGUUUGGUAAAAGUCUGAGCUAAUCCUCGUGACAGUCUCAGAGGAGGGUGCUGUUCCCUUUCUGUGGAAUGAGGGGCAGGUGCAGAGGUAAUAGCUCUGCAACGUCCAUGGGCUCUUGCGCUGGGUGAUGGAGCCAGUCCAGUGGCCCAGCCUCCCCGGCGAGCAGUGACUGUCGCCUGAGGCAGGGGCUUGGGAGCUGCGUGCAGGAGGGAGAAGAAGGUCGGGAUGGAGGUUGUAUGUGUCGUGCCAGAGUUAAGGCCGGUGGGGUCGUAAUGACCUUUUCUGGGCCUGGAGUCGAUUAUUCAGAUCUCGUGCUAAAGACAAAGAAGUAAUUGCACAGUAUUUAACUGUGGGCUUCUGUGUGUUUUAGUCAUGUGAUUUGCUUAUCUCAGUUUCUUUUUUAAUGUAUGCAACUGGGCACUUUUUCAUUAAUUCAACAAGUGUAGGGAGUUGCUCUUGUGGCUCAUUGGGUUAAGAACCCAGCGGGUAUCCAUGAGGAUGCAGGUUCAAUCCCUCGCCUCGCUCAGUGGGUUAAGGAUCUGGCGUUGCCAUGAGCUGUGGUUGUAGGUCACAGAUGAGGCUUGGGUCUGGUGUUGCUGUGGCUGUGGUGCAGGCCAGCAGCUCCAGUUCAACCCCUAGCCUGGGAACUUGUGUAUGCCGCAGGUGCAGCCCUAAAAAGAAAAAAAAAAGUUUAAAAAAAAACUGAAGAAGCAAAACAAAAACCAAGUGUAUCCUGAGGGCCUUCUCUGUGUCCCAACAACUCUUCUGGUCUCCAGGUUAUAACGUGAACCCUGCCGUGUUCCUGUGGAGCUUGCGUCCUGUUUGGUGACAGCAAGUGAAUGCGCAGUAACAGUCACGUGGCCAGAGUGAGCUGAAGGACAGGCGGCAGGGAGGCCCUUGGAUGGGUGGCUGAGAGGCAGGGUGUAGCUCUGACCUAGAGUGGGCCGAGGGCUCUGGGCCUUGGGAGUGGGGGGAGGUUGCACCCGCAGGACCUCCCUAGAGAAGCGGCUGUGCCUGCGGGCAGGAGAGACAGAGGCCAGCUUUCCCCGAUUUUAUGGGUGUAUUUGGAGACAGGGCUUUUAGGAUUAAUUAAGAUUAAGUGAGGGACGGAGUUCCCGUCGUGGCGCAGUGGUUAAUGAAUCCGACUAGGAACCAUGAAGUGGCGGGUUCGAUCCCUGGCCCCGCUCAGCGGGGUAAGGAUCUGGCGUUGCCAUGAGCUGUGGUGUAGGUUGCAGACGCGGCUCGGAUCCCGCGUUGCUGUGGCUCUGCUGUAGGCUGGCGGCUAUAGCUCCGAUUGGACCCCUAGCCUGGGAACCUCCAUAUGCCGCAGGAACGGCC